UGACGUUGACGUGACGUUCCAGCCAUGGU
Molecule: non-coding RNA, 29 nt
Filed under: Homo sapiens (human)
Lineage: Eukaryota; Metazoa; Chordata; Mammalia; Primates; Hominidae
Source: RNAcentral